GACGAACGCUGGCGGCGUGCCUAAUACAUGCAAGUUGAGCGCUGAAGGUUGGUACUUGUACCGACUGGAUGAGCAGCGAACGGGUGAGUAACGCGUGGGGAAUCUGCCUUUGAGCGGGGGACAACAUUUGGAAACGAAUGCUAAUACCGCAUAAAAACUUUAAACACAAGUUUUAAGUUUGAAAGAUGCAAUUGCAUCACUCAAAGAUGAUCCCGCGUUGUAUUAGCUAGUUGGUGAGGCAAAGGCUCACCAAGGCGAUGAUACAUAGCCGACCUGAGAGGGUGAUCGGCCACAAUGGGACUGAGACACGGCCCAAACUCCUACGGGAGGCAGCAGUAGGGAAUCUUCGGCAAUGGACGAAAGUCUGAACGAGCAACGCCGCGUGAGUGAAGAAGGUUUUCGGAUCGUAAAACUCUGUUGGUAGAGAAGAACGUUGGUGAGAGUGGAAAGCUCAUCAAGUGACGGUAACUACCCAGAAAGGGACGGCUAACUACGUG
RNAcentral lists this ribosomal RNA (497 nucleotides) under uncultured bacterium. Its description in RNAcentral is "partial 16S ribosomal RNA". It matches the Rfam family "Bacterial small subunit ribosomal RNA", at positions 28 to 507 of the family's 1533-position model. The record is from RNAcentral.